RNAcentral lists this ribosomal RNA (133 nucleotides) under uncultured bacterium. RNAcentral's name for it is "partial 16S ribosomal RNA". The record is from RNAcentral.
CGGUACCGUCAAGCCCCCCUCCACCGAGGGGGGUGGUUUCUUCCCGUAUAAAAGCAGUUUACAACCCAUAGGGCCGUCUUCCUGCACGCGGCAUGGCUGGAUCAGGCUCUCGCCCAUUGUCCAAUAUUCCUCA